CCGGAUGUGGUCACGAAUCCGCAUGGUUUUGUGACUAAAGCUGACCUCUGCUUGCACGUUAGCGCUUGGAGAUGGGCUUGCGGCCCAUUAGCUUGUUGGUGGGGUAAUGGCCUACCAAGGCGACGAUGGGUAGCCGACCUGAGAGGGUGAUCGGCCACAUUGGGACUGAGAUACGGCCCAGACUCCUACGGGAGGCAGCAGUAGGGAAUUUUGCGCAAUGGACGAAAGUCUGACGCAGCGACGCCGCGUGAGCGAUGAAGGUCUCCGGAUUGUAAAGCUCUGUUGAGUGGGAAGAAAACCUUCGGGGACAAUACCCUCGGAGCUUGACGGUACCACUCGAGGGAAGCCCCGGCUAACUACGUGCCAGCAGCCGCGGUAAUACGUAGGGGGCUAGCGAUGUACCGGAAUCACUGGGCGUAACGGGAGUGUAGGCGGGAAGGAAAGUAAGGAGUUAAAUUCACAGGCUUACCCUGUGGCCUAGCUCUUAAUACUGCCCUUUCUUGAGUAUUGGAAGAGGGUGAUGGAAUUCCAGGUGUACCGGUGGAAUGCGUAGAUAUCUGGAAGAACACCAGUUGCGAAGGCGGUCACCUGGCCCAAUACUGACGCUGAGGCUCGAAAGCUAGGGGAGCGAACAGGAUUAGAUACCCUGGUAGUCCUAGCCGUAAACGAUGGAUACUAGUUGCUGGAGGAGUCAAUCCUUUCAGUGACGAAGUUAACGCAUUAAGUAUCCCGCCUGGGGAGUACGCUCGCAAGGGUGAAACUCAAAGGAAUUGACGGGGGCCCGCACAAGCGGUGGAGCAUGUGCUUUAAUUCGAUGCAACGCGAAGAACCUUACCUGGGUUUGACAUGGGAGUGAAAGGAUCCAGAGAUGGAACCCCUUCCGCAAGGAACACUUCACACAGGUGCUGCAUGGUUGUCGUCAGCUCGUGUCGUGAGAUGUUGGGUUAAGUCCCGCAACGAGCGCAACCCCUGCCCUUAGUUGCCAUCAGGUAAAGCUGGGAACUCUAAGGGGCCGCCUGUCGUAAACAGGAGGAAGGUGGGGAUGACGUCAAAUCAUCAUGGCCCUUACGCCCAGGGCUAGACACGUGCUACAAUGGUCGGUACAAUGGGAUGCGAACCUGCGAGGGCAAGCUAAUCCCAGAAAACCGGCCUCAGUCCGGAUUGGAGUCUGCGACUCGACUCCAUGAAGUUGGAAUCGCUAGUAAUCGCGGAUCAGCAUGCCGCGGUGAAUACGUUCCCGGGCCUUGUACACACCGCCCGUCAAGCCAUGGAAGACGGUAGUGCCCGAAGUCG
This 1293-nucleotide ribosomal RNA is filed under the name uncultured organism. RNAcentral describes it as "bacterial SSU rRNA". It matches the Rfam family "Bacterial small subunit ribosomal RNA", at positions 169 to 1429 of the family's 1533-position model. The record is from RNAcentral.